UCUUAUUUUAUUUUUAAAUGCAGAUUUCAAAGCGCAACAUGACGAGUACAUCAGGAAGCAACAGGUCUUCGACCCGUUUCAGUACGGAGCAAGGACAGGGACAUAAGUCUACAACUAUUUAUUUCCAAAUUUGUAAG
Melanotaenia boesemani (Boeseman's rainbowfish) is the source of this 137-nucleotide long non-coding RNA. RefSeq lists it as uncharacterized. The record is from RefSeq and is a predicted model, not a curated record. The transcript has 3 exons. Lineage: Eukaryota; Metazoa; Chordata; Actinopteri; Atheriniformes; Melanotaeniidae.